This 583-nucleotide ribosomal RNA is filed under the name uncultured bacterium. RNAcentral describes it as "bacterial SSU rRNA". It matches the Rfam family "Bacterial small subunit ribosomal RNA", at positions 102 to 680 of the family's 1533-position model. The record is from RNAcentral.
ACGGGUGAGUAAUGCUUAGGAAUCUGCCUAUUAGUGGGGGACAACAUCUCGAAAGGGAUGCUAAUACCGCAUACGUCCUACGGGAGAAAGCAGGGGACCUUCGGGCCUUGCGCUAAUAGAUGAGCCUAAGUCGGAUUAGCUAGUUGGUGGGGUAAAGGCCUACCAAGGCGACGAUCUGUAGCGGGUCUGAGAGGAUGAUCCGCCACACUGGGACUGAGACACGGCCCAGACUCCUACGGGAGGCAGCAGUGGGGAAUAUUGGACAAUGGGGGGAACCCUGAUCCAGCCAUGCCGCGUGUGUGAAGAAGGCCUUUUGGUUGUAAAGCACUUUAAGCGAGGAGGAGGCUACCGAGAUUAAUACCCUUGGAUAGUGGACGUUACUCGCAGAAUAAGCACCGGCUAACUCUGUGCCAGCAGCCGCGGUAAUACAGAGGGUGCAAGCGUUAAUCGGAUUUACUGGGCGUAAAGCGCGCGUAGGUGGCCAAUUAAGUCAAAUGUGAAAUCCCCGAGCUUAACUUGGGAAUUGCAUUCGAUACUGGUUGGCUAGAGUAUGGGAGAGGAUGGUAGAAUUCCAGGUGUAGCG